Molecule: RNA transcript, 17409 nt
Organism: Meriones unguiculatus (Mongolian gerbil)
Lineage: Eukaryota; Metazoa; Chordata; Mammalia; Rodentia; Muridae
Exons: 4
Source: RefSeq, a predicted model, not a curated record
AUAUAGUAUUAAAGGUUAAUAUGGAAUUUGAAGACAUUUUAGGAAAUGUAAUUCUCUAAUCGUAAAUAAAAAAGGACUAAUAAUGCUUCAGCAUCUUCCUGAUGUAGUUAGUGACUAACUUAGCUUAAAAGUAACCCCCAAAUGUUUCAAAAGUUUUAAUGAGUAAUACAUUUUGUUAUAACAUAGUUCUGUAAUGUAGAAAAAAAAAACUUUGUUGAUUCUAAUACAGCCAGCUUAUGUAAAAAGUGGCCGAUUUGAUUUUUGAAUUGUGAGCUACAGUUUCACUGCGUUUUUUUAAAGAAUGGCAAUAAAUUGUGUAGAAAGAAGAUCAGUUCUUCUUUCUGUGCAUGUAAGUGCCCUAAUGCGCUUGCCUCAUUGCAGAAUCUCAGGCUAUUUUUCAUUCUAUGUUCUUCUGUGUGGGAGACUCUGAGACGUUAUCAAAAAUAUCGGGAAGAGGUUUGACAUGAAUUUAAAAUUUAAGCACGGGUAUGAGGAAAAUCUGUGUUGGCUUCAGUAGUAAGGAGAUCAAACGGUAGAGUUUAGGACAAGAUUUCCUUCUAGAGUCUCUGGAUUCUCUAGCAUUUUCUACUUUAUUGUAUAAUCAACAUUUUAACCAAUAUAUAGUUAUUGCAUGCGUGACAGUAGAGGCGGAAAACUUAUCCAAAAACCUUGAAACCCUGAUCCUGACUUUAUCAGAUAUGUUCUGUUUUAUAUUUUCUAGCUGAUCCUAGCUACCGAGCACUUGAAGCCAACUUACAAAUUACACAGAAUUAACUAAGUCAUUUCUAUUUUAAGAGAAAUACUCUUUUAAGACACCAUUAUUUCAAUAUCACAAAUAGCACCACUCUUCGGAGCAAAACAGUAAUUCUAGUAACUUAAAAAUACACUUUUAGCAGGGAAAAUACAAUUUUUAUUGACUGUCAGUGCUCAUACUAUGGGUGUUUUUUUGGCUCACUUUCCAUUUCUUUCUUUGUGCUGCUUCUGACAGAUCAUUCCGGUGCUAGACACCGUGGGGAAAAUUAAUAAGGCAAGCGAUGCGUGUUGAUCUUCUUCCUACCCCAUAAACCCGAGUCUGCAUGAAUUCAGAACAACAAGAAGUCUGAGCGUUUAACGCCCUUUACUGAGUCUGACAGACAGUAGAGGCUGGAGUCAGCUCUGCCAUUGGCAAAUCGGAUUUCAUGUUCCACAGCAAAUCCAUCCCUGUCCAACUCAGCUCCGCUUCCUUUCCCGGGGGCCUAACAAAUGGAGUUAAAAGACUUAUACCCAAAUGGGGAAAUUAGUGCCAUUUGUGUAUAGGCAGUAGCCUUAUUCAAACUGCUUUCAAACUAAUUGGGAAAAAAUUUCAAGACAUAGUAUGAUUUAAUUAUAAGUCCUCCACAGUGGGUAGUGCGUAGGCAUCUAUAUAGGGCUCAAGAGCACAUUUAAGUUUCUUGCUUAUUUUGAAUUGUUUACGGAUCGCAUUGUAGUUCUUUGGUGGGGGGGCGGUGAGAAAGAAACACUUCAGUUUAUACAAUUUGGAAGAUGGAAAAAGUAUAACAAAGUAGUAAAUUUAACUUUUCAAGUUGGUAUGUUUUCUUCUGCUGAAGUAAUUCUUUGAUGGAUUGUCUUCGCUGUGUUUUAAGCUGAUGUUCUUUGGAAAUAAUUCUGAUUCUGAACCAGGAUGGCAGCAAAGGGGCUGGGGAGAAAGCCUUCUGUGUCUAAAACGUGACAAUUGAUAUCUUUAAUUGUCAACCUCCGGUAGUCUUUGACCAUGUUAAUAAAUCGAACAUGUGUUGAACAACUCAGAGAAUUCAUCCCUGGAAGUCAUGCUCCGGAACUUGUGGGCCGAGCGGUUUACUUAUUUAUUUCUCCCUGAUUUAAAUGUGACGUGCACUAUCUAGCUGAGACCAAUAUUGUUAUACAUCUAAGUUGAAAACUGCACUGCGGGUAGUCUAGGGCUUCGGUAUGGGCGAGGGACUGUGAGUCCAAAAGUCAAACGGAUGAGUGCUACGAACUUAACACAGCCUGCGAUGGCUAAAUUACAGAGCACACGCCCUCUCACAAAGUGCUGUUGAGUCACCUGUGGAGUGUGUUAACUGUUUCCUGACUCAAGCCUGGCCAUUUAGUGAUUAUUUCAACUCCACUAACUUGAUUCUUUUUUGUGAGUCUUAAAUAAGAACAGUAAACUUGCUUUGCGCCCACAAAGCCCUGGGUCCAAUCCUCAGCACUGAAAGCAAACAAAACCAGAUUAAAAAUAAGACCCAGGAGCAGUGAGUGGGCAGAUGGAUGGAAGUCAGAGCUCUUUGGCCCUACAGGGUUAGUGGAGUCUUUUAAACGAGGAUUCAAGUAGCUUUAGACCAGAGCUUUCGCAUUCCUGCUGGUCAUUCUGUUGCCUGGUGAUUCUCCUCCUGUUUUAUGCCAUAACUCAAAACUGGUUUCUCUUCAAUGAGUAGAGCGUGGGACUUAAUUAAACCUAAAAAUAAAAUAAAAGUAAACCCCAGUUUUCAGCCUGACUUAAAUAAUUCUAAAACACCACUCUACUCCAUAGCCCCAAUGACAGAUUAAAGCCCCCAGCUCGUUUGUUUGUUUGUUUUGUUUUGUUUUUGUCUUUGGAGAUGGGAUUAAGGUGACGUUUUAAGUGCAACAUGCGCAAACAAAGAAAAAGUUUGGAUUGUAUUUCAAAGUAACAGAUAAUGGUUUAUGCCUAAGUUGGCAUCUGAGGACUAGCUCCUGAUUGCUUCCAGUAACUAAGGAGGUAGAAAUUUUAUAAGAUUUUAAUUUAUGGAGACAAAUUUCUAGUUUUAUAUAAAAGGAAAUUUUCACUCAAAUCCUCUUAUCUUAUUAAAUUUUAAGUCAAAUUAGCCCAAAGAUGUUUCCUUCUAGUGACUUAUCACUUUUGACCUCCAGUUAACUGAAAAUAUUCUGAUCAAAAAAAGAAAUACAUGAAAAUAAGAUAAGAAAGAUGUAAAAUAAAGACCACUUGUAAUAAUUUUUAAGGAACUAAAUUAAUGUGAUUUUUUUUCCUGUUUGGGAGUUUUCAAGUUCUGGAAGAAUGGCCAUACAUCAGAAGUAAUGACAAAGAGGAUGAAUCUGAAAGAAUCGCUUUCCCAUUAAGAUAAAUACAUUCGAUAAUUGUUCACAGCUGAUGUCCAGAAUGUCCUGUUUCGGUUAAUACUCAAUCAAAACAAUAAAUGAAAAUGGAAAAGAUUUGGUUUCCCACCAGUAAAAUGAGGUAAUGAUGUGAAACUGAUCAUGCUGUUGAGUUGAAAAGAGAGAAUGUACAUCAGUAUCCAGCUCAGGUCCCUGCCUGUGGAAGGAGAGAUUGUGGAAAAGUGGAACAACAGAGACGCGUGCUGUUGGUCCUGUGACUGGGAACUGGAGAGGAGGCAAGAUGCUGGCAUAGCUGUUGAGCUGAGAACCUGCUAUGCCAACAUAUUGCCAUCUUUCCUGUCUGACUGCAGCUCGGCCACCUCCGGGCCAUUCCUCCAUGUCUUGCUGCGUGGAGGGGUUUUGUGACUUGAUCUGCCUCACCCUGACUUCUCUCUAGACAUGUACCAAGGCCCUCACUCCAUUCUAGCCACACUGGCCUGUGGGGGCUGUUCUUGGACACACCAGGGAUGUCCCUGCCUCUUCACCCACCUGCCUCUGUUUAUCAUUGGGUCUCAAAGGAGAACUCUUUCAUAGUGGCACUGUCUAUAAAACCUUUCAUGCGCCCAGCCACCGUUCAUCUCAUGACCCUGCUCUGUCUUUUCAGAAACAUCAGUCACUACCCAAACAUGUUUGUUUGCUUGAUUGUUGCCUAUUUCCUGUACCAGAUUAUGAGUCCUUUAAAGUAUACCAAUCUUCACUCAUUCACUGUAUCCCUUAACCAUGGCGUUUGUAAAUCCUCAAUUUGUGUCUUUGAAACUUUAUCUUGAACUUAUUGUGUAAUAAAGGUGUCAGAUAAUUAGAUUUUUAUCAUAUCGUGAAUGGCUCUGAUGAAACACUGGUUUAUAAGUAACAGAAAAUAAAUAAGUUAGUAUUGAUUUCUAGGCCUGCAAACCUGACAUCUUAAAGGAGCCACAAUAAAGUUAUCAUUGAGUCUACCAACUCAGAGAAGACACAAUAUUGUAUUGAAAAGCCAUCAUAUUCAAAAUAAAUGUUUUCCAGUCUCACCAUGGGAUUCGCUUCUGAGUUCUUAGUUAAACCACAAUUUUCUCUGUUGCAAGAUACUACUGACCCCACAGGAUUCUCGAGGUAGUUAGUGAGGUUAGUCUUAAUCAUAUGUAAGCAUUUUUAUCUCAAAAAAUUUUGAUGUGUUCAUACUGGUAAAAUUUCCGUGAGUUUUAAUUAUUUUACUGCCUAGAAUUAUUUUCUUUAGUUAGAAGCAGGUGAUCUUAAGUGUAAAUUCCAGACUUAUAGGGCUGUGUCUAUAUCAAGACAUAGAAAUGUUGAGACCAAAAAGUUAUUACCAUGGAUCUCAAAUCUUUUUUCACACUCCUCACCUUUCUUAUUUCUGGUUAUUCAUUAUCUACCAACUUGUGCCUUUUAUGCAUCUGCUAUCUCAUUAGAAUAAGAAUAUUUGAUAUUUUAAUUUUAAAGCAUUAAGGUUUUAGUAGGAAGUUUUUUGCUUUUAAUGCACUAAAUUUUAUAUUAACUUGGUGCUUUUCCAAGGAAGAAACUAACAGUCACUCUUGGGUGGGUGUUGUAACUACUGCAUCCAGAAAACAUUCAUUAUGUCUUCCUCAUGCCUCUGAGAGUAUAUUGAACAAAGCCCUUAAUUUAAGAGGUGGACAGCACAAAAGUGUGGCAAGUUGCUCUACAUUUUUAAAAAAAUACUCUGUUCACAAAGAGUAGUCAACAUUUGCAAAGCAAUAUGAUAAUUAAAUGACUUCAAAAAUGUUAGGUACUUUUUCUGAUCUUAGGUAUUAGUUCUCUUAGUACUUGUGAAUCUGUCACCCUUUUUUGUUCUUUCAGUUCUAGAAAUAAAGAUAUAAAGCAUAAUAACCACCAACGCUGGGAGGACAUUAUAAAUGUAACGUGAAGGCUUUGAGUAACCCAAUUAACAGCUGAAACCUGACAGCUAUGUUGCUUUGUUCAUUUAUUAUUUUGAUGGGGAAAAGAAAGUGUUGAUGAAUUAAUAGACCAGAACUUACAGUUUAUUGUAAGUUUAUUGUGGAGAUUUUAAAAAUGGAUCUCCACCCGUACUUAACUUAUAAACGUUGUUGGAGUUUGGGAUUCUUUUGCCUUUUCCAGAGUUCUGACUGCAUCAGUUGUAGAGAUAUCUAUCCAGUGUUCCCUUGACCUCAGGGCAGCUGAUAAGCUGGGUUCCAAGUGGAAAUGAACUUGAAGCUUAGAUAAGCUCUCCUCAUUUGAAAGGGUCUGAUUGUGACUUAUAAACACCUCUUUCUGCCAAGUGAAUGGUCAUGUGGGGGGGGAGGGAUUCACACGAAGAAACAUCAAAGAGAUGCUAAUAAGUCAAUGCUCUAACUUUACCAGCACUUAUUACAUGUCCUGGAUUUUUGAGUGACACUGCAUUUUUAGCCACCAGAAUUUGUUUUAAAAUGUGGAUUCCAAAACUGUCCCCUGGAGAUCUGGAUUUAAUAAGUGUUCAUUGAGACUUAAGGAUCUUGAUUUUUGAUGAGCACCCCGUUGAUCUGGAUUUCAUUUGAGAAGAUGCCCUGUUUUGAAAACACUCAACCUAGGUCCCAAGUCACAGGGCAAGUGUAUUUUAAAAGUACGCUUUUCAGUAUGGAAGUUAGCCACAGCCAUGAAAAGAGUCUGUUUUCCCACUGUGUCUUUGCUUAUGAAAACUGGAACAAUGUUUUGUGACCGUGUUUUAUCCUCUGAGGUCACUUACAUAAACAGCCCACAUAACUGCACUCGGGAGCGGUGCACCCCAGGCUGCCUCUGUGCAGUUCUUAACUCCCAUCAUCUCUGCUCCAGGGGUUCGUGUUACAACUUCCAAGUUGUUUUAUUUUCAUUACUGAUUGACAAAAUGUUGACCCAAAUCUUUCAUCUCUAUAUAGGCGCUACUCUGUAGGAUUUCUGUCAAAAUGAAAAUGAUACAUGAACUCCUUGAGGCUACAGACGAGGUCUAAUUAUGCGGGAGGGGAAUUCCCAAGAUUUAUGGGACUCUUAACAGUUGUAAAUCUUUCUGAAACCCAAGGGGUUAUAUCUUAAUUAAUAUAUUUCUUAAAUUGAUGUUUUUGUGACUAUUUUUUAUGAGUUAGGUCAUCUUUUCACUUGGAAGCAGUGUUGUGUAAGAGAAAGCUGCAGAUUGAAAUGCAGAAGGAUUCAGGAAGGCCCAGCUCUAUCAUUUUCUUGUACUAGUCAUGAUUUGGGGCACAUCUUUUAGUUGACUCCCUUAAUUGUACAGGUAAUGGUAGAAAAGAUUAUGUGAAUAAGAAAGGGGGUAAAAGAAAAAUAACAGCUGUAAAAAACUAACUAUACAUCAACAUAAGAGAUAAUCUAUAAAAAGAGGCUAGUUACAGAUUUUAGUAGGAAUUAGUUUUAUUUAAUUUUUUUUUUCAAAGCCAUCAGAAUGACUCAGCACACAAGGGCAUUUGCUGCCCAGCCUGACAUCCUGUGUCAGACCUCCAGGACUCUCUGGGUCGAAGGGGAGAACCAAUUUUCUCUAGUUGUCCUCUGACCUCCAUAUUCCCACUGAGAUAUAUGCUCAGACACACAGAGAUCUAAUUAGGUUUUUUUUUUUCAUUGUUCUUUUGCUUUGUACUAUUUUCCAGUUCAAUAAGAAAAAACUAGAGUUCUGAGUCAAAGGCAAAUAAUUUUUGUUCUCAUCCAAUAUGAAGUACUUCUUUUCUACUUUGUCCCAGGGAAAACAGUGUUGAAAGCCAUGGAAUGAGGAGAGAGAUAAGAUGUAACUCCGUGCUGUAGUAUGCCAAGGGUUCAGUCCCCAGCACUGCAAAUAAACGAAAACAUACAACAAACAAAAAUGAUUAAAUGGAGUGAUGAAGCAGUGUAUGCCUAAAAGGCCAGUACUCAUGAGGCAGAGGCAGGAGAAUCAUUAUUUGAAAGUCAGUAUGGACUACAUAAAAACAUUCAAAGCCAGGCUGGGAGUGUAGCUCAGUGAAAGAGCACUUCCUUAAUGGUCCAGGCCAUGGGUCCAGUUCUUGGCUGUUUAAGAAGUAAAUAGAAAUCAAGAGUACCUCAAUAAUGACUAGUGACUCACUCUUGUCUUAAUGGCUCAUGCGAUUCAAGUUGGACAAGAUGUAUAAAGAGUGCAAUGAAGUGUCAAACUCCAUAACUAAAAGGAAGAUCUAAAUUUAAUUAAUUUUACAUUGUUUAUGAAUCUCUCCAACUCUUUUCUCCACCCCCAACAAAAUGUUGCUUUGGAAAUGGUUGAGAUUUUAACAAAACUACUCUAUUUUAAUCCUGUCUACAGGACACCCUAAUUGGUUACUUUUGGUGUGUAACAGGAAGGUCAGACGCAUUUGUAUAGGAGGGAGGCUCAUCUUGUUUCAGCUCUGUUCUCGAGGGGCACAGACUAGACAUGGUAGGCAAGGUUCAGAGUGUCUACCGCAGUGGCACACCUCCUAAAGAAUCAACAUUCUCCAAACCACGGAAAACCAGUAUCCAGCUUGUAGUUUUCACUGAGAUGUGAACCAUGUAUUCAUUCUUCUUAAACCCCGUGAAUGUAUUUCAUAACAGAAAAAUACGCACCGAAGCUUCCUUUUAAAAUGCAACUUUGCUUUAAUGUUUUGAAAGUCAAUUAAGUUAACCAAAACAUUAAGAAACGUAUGAUCAGUGAAUAUGACGGAUAUUAGGAAAAUAUGGCUCAGACUUUGGGAAACUGAAUUUUAGGUAAAACCAUGCAGUAAAGCAGCUGGGGAAAGCCUCAUUAAAAACAUGAAAAAAAAAAUUUACCUAAAGUUUCUCCAGUUCAUGGUUUAUUUUGAGAUGUGUGUAUUGUUUGUGCACGAAGAGAUUUUUAAAGUGAGGAUUGAUGUACUAUGCCUAAAAAUUAUUCACACAAUCAGCAACCCCCCACACACAUACACAUAGAUCUGCCAGUAAGGGUUAAUAUCACUUCUCAGAUCAUGAGGAAAGUGUCUUAGAAAAGCAUUGUUCAUAAAUGAUAAGCAAGUUCAUUUAGAAGCUGACUAGUGAAUCUAGUUGGAGUAAUUCACUGGGUGUUUGUACUUUCUUGAAGAUAAGAUGGUCUUCACUGUCAAACUAGCUUUGGACAAAGGCCCAAGAUCUGCAAUAUGCAACAAAGCAGGAAACCCUUUCUGUGUGGUCUAGAAAACUUGCAACAUCUUAGUCUACAUGCAAAACAAAAACAAAAAUCUAGUAAGAGCUUUUGCUUUAUGAGGCCGAUGUACCUGCCUUGAGACCCAUGAAUUAGACAUCAUCAAAGACAGUUUUCCCAAACUUAGACAAGUAGUCUAGAAAUACCUACAGGGAGAAGAAUCAAGUAUGCAUGAGGAAAUAAAAGGGAAAAUGGAGUGCCUGGGAAAUGAGCCAUGCUUAAUGGUUUGCAUACCUUGAAAUGUCCUGUCUGAUUGCUUAACUUCACAGGAAAAGAAAAAAAUGAGUGACUUGAUUUACUGAUUCCAAAUUAAUUUUACAUAAUGGACUUGAGAGACCUAGCAUGAAAACCUUUAAUUUCAUCUGUGGCUGGGCCAGGAGGAGGAAUAGUUGUGCACAUCCAACUCUGCUUUGCUGGAAAGUAAAAUCACCCUUGAGAAAGGUUAAGAAAAAAGUAGGGCGAUAAAGUACAAUGAUAAAGCCUCGAGCUAAAAGAGAAAAGAUAUUCCCACUUUAAAAUGACCAGUUUUAAGGUGAGUUUUUUCUAAACAUUUCUUUAAACACGUUGCAAGUUAAUCAUGUUGUGCUUAUAAUUGUUUUCAGCUAUAUAACUUUACACAUAUGUAUUUGUCUCAACACUUGAAUUAAAUGUGAUAGUUCUACCUGUAUUUUGAGAAGUGUGAAAUCCUCUCACCCUGUCUCAGUUGGCAAUAUGCUUGCCGUUUAAACUUGAGGAUCCGAGUUCAUGCACAUGAUUACGUACACAAAAAAAGCCACACACAGCAGUGCCUGCCUGUAAUCCCUGCACUGGAGAAGGAGAAAUAGGAGGGUCACCAGGGCCUUCUAGCCUAUUAAUAUAUGAACUCCAGGUUGAGUGAAAGCCUCACACAACAGAAGGUGUCUCACAAAACAAGGUGGAGAACAAAAGACUGAGCAAGAUUUUUGAUGUUAGCUGCCUGCCCCCAUGCACAUCUGUGCCCACGUGAACACAUAUAGAAAGAAAACCUUUCCCCAGCUUCCUCUGUUAGAUGGACUCUUUCAGUUGUUCCUCCGGAAGUUAUUAAUCCGUUCUCUUAUAAUGAGACGUAGCACUUUACCACGACUUUCAGUCCAAGAAAACAGAUGAACAAGCCAGGUGAGGCGUUAGAGUGAUAUAAUGUAUGGAAAUAAGGAAAUUAUAAUCCCAAAGAAGAAUUUUUGUUUGUUGAGGUUAAAAUUAGAGGGGUGAGGGAGUGUCACCACAAGGCAGAGCGCAUGUAUGAGAUCCCUGAAGCUGCAGAUUUCCGCACAUCUGGAAUGUUCAUAGUAGUGAUGGGAAGAACAGAUUGUAUAAGAUAUACAUACAAGCAGGGACCACACACGUCUCCUAAGCCUGGUUACACAGCACAGCUUUUAUUAAUGCAACGAGCCACUGAAGUAUCUAAAGUCAUUGCCCCAUUAAAUGAAGAGGUUUAUAAUUUGUUGUUUUGCUUUGAUUUUGAAACAAGGUCUCAUUAAGUAGCCCUGGUUGGCCUGGAAUUUGCAAUGUAGACCAAGUUGGCCUCAAACUCACAGAUCUGCCCACCUCUGCCUCCCAAGUUCUUGGAUUAAAGGCCUGUACCACCAGGCCCUGUGAAGUUUUUUUUCCUUGAAUAUUCAGAUUCCCUCCAUAGGCUCAUUCACUUCCUCCCUCUUGCAUAUCCUAUAAUUGACACUCUUCUUGAAGCUGGCAUCCUCUCUGCUUCAGGGCCAUUCUUCACUUAGAAGCCAGAAGGAAACCGAAACUGUAGUUAGAUGUCUCCUCCUGCCUUCUCCUUCCCACUUCCUCUUUAGGCAUGUUUUAAAUUAUUCCUCUCCCUUUCUUUGCAUCGUGAUUUCUUUUUCUUCCUUGGCAUCUUUGUCAUGUUUUUCAGCUCUUGCAUACACCAUCUUUCUAGCCCAGACCUCUGUUUUAUUACUUUUUUGCAGUUCCAGUUGCCUUUUAUUUUAUUACACAGAUGGUACCGCCAGCCUUUUAUUUUAUUAUACAGAUGGUACCGCCAGCUCAACUUGUAGAAAGCCAAAAACUCACUCCAUCCAAAUGACAUCUUAAGAUAAUGCUUUAUCACCAGUAUACCUUGGAAACCAAAUGUCAUCUUGCUCUCUUUCUCACCUGGCCUCAACUGCCUGUUUCCAUAUCCUGUGAGUUCCAUCUCUACAGCCUCUCUCAUAUAUACUCGCUGUUUCCUAUUCCUGCUUACAUUGCCUGACCCAGCUGCCAAUUACACACUGUAAAACCUUCCAGUCCUUCCAGCUUCCGGUUCACCCCUCCCCAACACACACACAUACAUCCCAAAUCUACUUCAUACCCUUGCUAAAAAUGUCCUCCUAAAGCAUUUAUUUGAUAGUUUUAAAUCAUUGUGGAUUGAGCCUGGCCAAUGUUCUCCACAAGCUUGAACAAAAAAACCUGUGUCAGUCGCUUUUACUUUUUUUUUUAACUUCUAUAACCGAAUUCCUGACAAACAAAGCUUAUGUUGGCUUACAGUCUAAGAGGAUACUGUCCGUGUUAGCUUACAGUUUGGGUGAUGAUCAUUAUGGCAGGAAAGACGUGGCUGCAGAGUAGGGACAGUUCGUCAUGAUGCAUCUUUAAUCGGGAAGUGGAGAGAGAGAUUAAUGCCAGCACCUGCUUGCUUUCUCCAUGUGGUUCAGUCCAGUGCCAGAGCCCAUGGAACUGUGCUGCCCAAGUAGAGAAUGGGCCUGUCUCCCUUGGUUAAACCUCUCUGAAGCUCCCUCCUAGACAAACUCAGAGGUGUGUUCACAUGGUGGCCCUAAAAGCAGUCAAGCUGACAGUGAAUGGUAAUCAUUGCACUGUCUCUCUCUCAUCUCCCAAGUAUCUCCACCUCAGCAACUGUUCUAAAAACCUCAUAUUCAUUCAUACUUUCUUUUCUUCUGUGUAUUAUCUUUCCAUGUUCCUUUUUGAUGUGAAACUAUCCAUACCAAAAUUGAUUUUUUUCCUCAAUGAAAAAUUCCCUGAUAUUCCCAAAUAAAAUCGAUUUCUUUUUUUUUUCUAAAGGUAUUUUGUAUGUGACUUAAUCCUAUAAACCACAUAUGCCUAUGAAACAGCAUUGUGCACCUGUCAUAGAUGAACAGCUCUUUAUUAUUCAGCUGUUUUAUAAGAAAGGAACAGAUCUUGUAAGUGCUUUAACAUGGUGCUUUAGGUGUUUUGUGGAUCUUUACAAUGCCCAGAGUAUAUUCUAGCGUCAUAAUUUAUCUCGUCAGUAUCCGAGUACCAAACAUUCUCUUUAACAUACAAAACCCUCCAGGGUUAGACAUGCACACAUUUAAUUCCUGCACUCCAGCAGAUCUCUGAGUUUGAGGCCAGCCUGGUUGUACAUAGCAGGUUUCAGGCCAGUGGGGGCCACAUAGCAAGCUCUGUCUCAAAAAAAAAAAAAAAAAAAAAAAAAAGUACCUCCAAUAUGCACACGUGUGCAAUGCAUCUGAAAUACUGUAACCACUCCCGUGGACAGCUCUCCAAGAGAACGUUCUCAUAUAAGCUAUUCUGGUUAUGUCUGGAUAGUGUAAGGAUCAGAUUCUGUCUCAGGCUACCUUGAGGAGAAGAUGUGCAGUGUAUGAACUUAUAAGACAUGCAAGCAGAAGGCAUCAGGCACCAAAAACAACACCUUUAAGGAUACGCUCCUUUCUCCACCCUUCACCUUCUCUGUGACUAUUACUUUACUUUUUAACAUCAGAUGAGUGAGUUUUAGAAAGCAGUAGUGAGCAGCAGCAUUUUCUUUGGCAUUUCUCGGGCCUCUAGCUAUUUUUUUUUAAUCCCUUGCUAGUGUGUUCUGGUAUGUGGAUUUUAUUCCUAAUUCCUUUUAGGACAUUCCUUUAGGACAAAAUUAUAAAAUAAUCCGAAAGUUAAUGAUUUGUUCUCCCUCUCAGCAGAACUGAAAGGAACGAUAGCUUGGGAAGAUCAAUGUAAUGUAACCCUAAAACCGGUUUCUAGGGGGUCAAAUCACUGCUGUCAUGUCUCUGCUCUCAGCACACAGUGGUUGAAAUGACUGGGAAGAUUUGCAUUAAGUGAAACAAAGUGUUAUGGCCUUAAAAAAUAAAAACUCAACUGUCACUAACAAAAUUGUGAUAUAGUAAGCUGAGAAGAAAAAAGGGCACAAAGAAGAAUUAAUGACAAUACUGCCUUCCAGAAAAGUCUCAGAAUCAAUUGUGUAUCACACACUAAAGGUAGAGCUUCAAGCUUGAACAGGCCACCAAAGAUGGGCCAUUGAGAGGGCUCAGCCAAGCCAAUCCAGCAACCCAAGUGUGAUCCUUGGAACCCACAUGAAGUUAGAUGGAGAAAACCAGCUGUCCUCUGACCUCCACGUGUGUCAUAGCAUUCACACUCCUACACAUUCCCUACACAACCCCCCACACCAAGCAUCUUCCUUUGAAUAAUAGGUGAUAAUAAUAACAAAUAUAAAAGAAAUAAAAGACUGCCAAAGACACCUACCUUUUAAAGUACAGUGCUCUUCUAGUCCAUGGAUUACAUCCAGUGCCCUCGAUUUGUUCAAGUCCCAGAUGAAAAAGCAAACUUGGUUCCCUUCCUUUUUCUUUAAGAGCCCUAAGUAACACACCUGCCAAUAAAUUAAUUUCCUAGUCUAUUGUUUUUCUGACUUUUUAAAGAUUAACACAUUCAGCAGUCAUGGCACUGUAAACUGAACAUCGUAAAUUACUGCUGUGACGACCUUAAUUAUAUGGUAUACACAAAUCAUAUACCGCAUGGAAAAGCCAAGAUAAACAAGCCAUUGUUCAUGCCAGUGGUUUGAGACAAUUUUAUCUUGGGGAAUGCUUACAACAAAAAGCUCUUUUCAUUAGCUUAUUUGUAUAUAUGAUCUAGAGAAAGCCUGUUAUUUAAUGUUAGCAGAAAAGCACCUAGCUUCAACUUAGAAAACCUUUGUUCCACUGUAUCUGAACCAAUGGUCUUAAUGAUAUACCAUCUGACAAGCAAGAUGACAAAGAAUCUAAAGUGCAAUGUAAAAGUUUUAGACUUGUAGGAUAGUUAGUACUUCCUUCUCUCUCCCCCACCAAAAGUGAAUUCUUUUAUAUUGAUUAAUAUUUUUUUAUGUAUGUGAGGGCUCUAUCUGCAUGAAUGCCUGCAGAAGAGGGCAUCAGACACCAUGUGGUUUCUGGGAAUUUAAUGCAGGACCUCUGGAAGAGUAUCCACUGCUCUUAACUGCUGAGCCACUUUUUCAGCUCCCUCGCUGCCUUUCUUUUAGAAGGUGAUUGUGCCUAUCCUUCAAUAAAUUACAGACUGCUUUGUGCCUAUCAUUUUUGGCGUUGGUGGUUCUAGGGAUGGAACCCAGAGCAUCAUACAUGCCAGGCAGGUAUCUUACCACUGAGCUACAAUCUUAGCUCCGCCCUUUCUAGCAUUCCUCUCUCUCACAUAGAUGUGGUGUCUUUGCUCACUGGUGUAUGUAUUUAUAAUUGUGAACAGGUCUAUUGAUAUAUUCCUUAAAGGGAGGAGAAGGGAUUGGAAACAGAUGUUGUAGUCUUGGGUAAAAGCAGAAUGAUCCAUUAUUUAAGGUCUGCCUCACCUAUGACUUGGAGGCCAUCCUAGGCUCCAUGAGAUUUUGUCUCUAAAGAGAAGGGGAGUGGGAAGGAAAGGGAUGAAAAGAAGAGAAGAGAGGAAUGGAGAGGAGAUGAAAACAUUAAGGAAAGGGGAGAAAAGAAAAGAACAACAAAAAAAUAACCACUGGGGCCAGAAAGAUGGCUCAGUUGGUAAAGUACCUGCUGCACCUAUAUUCAAAGUCCAGAUGUCCAUGUCAGGACGCCUGAUAUGGCAGUAGAAACUAUACUCGCAGCGCAGGGUAAGCAGAGACAGGAGGAUCCCUGGAGCUUCCUGGCAAGGCAGCCUAGCCAAUUGAUAAACUACAAGUAGCAUCUCUCAAAAAAAUAAGAUGAAAGUAUUUAAUGUCUGCUUUUGACCCCCACUCAUACAUAUGCACAUGCCUAUCCAAACACCACAACACCAACUACAGACAAGAAUCACCUUUUCUUUCGCCAUGUGGAAAGGUACUAUGAAUCCAAAAGAAGUGACCAUCAUCUUGUGUUAGUUGUACAGGCUGAAAAGUCCACAUGAUAACCUCAAAAUUAAGUACUAUAAUAAUUUUUAUCUCAAUACUUAAUACCAGUCAUUACAUAGCAUCUAGUUCCCACUUCUUUAGUGUGUGUGUGUGUGUGUGUGUGUGUGUGUGUGUGUGUGUACUGCCCAUUCCAGGCUGGCCUUGAUCUACCUUUCUCAGCCUUACAAGUGCUGUUUCAAGAAGCAAAAAUCCUCCGUGCCAAGCCUCUACUUCUACAGAUGAUUUUCUUUGACAAUUCUAUUUUCUUUGUUGUACACACAAAAAAAGAUACUGAUUAUUAAAGAAAAAACAAACAAUUCUGAGGCCUGAGAAACAAUUAUAAGCAAUCGUGAAAGUUAUCAAUACUCCUCCAACUAGGAGUUGGUUUAUUCCAAAGUGAUCUUAAUCUUGUUCUGACCUUAAGGAUGGAUGUGACAAAGAGGAGGCAGUUUAUAUUCCAAAGGCAUAUGAAUGGUUCCAUUAUUGGACUUAGCUGUAUCUUCUGCACAGUCGCAGUGACAAAGAGAACAUUUGUUUCCAUGUGUAAGAUUUUGUUAAGAACCUUUAUUCUUUUCCCACAGAGCAGAACUAUUACCAUACAAGAUGCUUAUCAGCGACACUGACCGAUUUCCAGCUUACUCUACCUCUGUCCCAAUUACUGCCUGUUACUGGAACAAAAGAACCAGACACCAGAGACACUGGAUCAAACCUGACAGAAUUCAUCCUUCCAGAAUGCUGAGACAUUGACACAUCUGUUCCAGCAUCUUGCAUGUUCCAGCAUUCUGCUUGUUCCUGCCUCAACUGCUUCAAUUGCUGUUUCUCAUCUAAGCCUGCUCCCAAGAGAGCUUUGAAGAAAGCUACUAAUCUCAAUUGGUCCAGCAUUUUACACUGUUCUAAACAGGACUUCUUUUUUUUUUUUUUUAAUCAGUUACAUUUUAUUAACUCUGUAUCCCAGCCGUGUCCCGAUCACUCACUCACUCCCAGUCCCUCCCUCCCUCCCUCAUCUCCACCGUGCCCCUUUCCAAGUCCACUGAUAGGGGGGACCUCCUCCCCAUUCAUCUGAUCCUGUUUUAUCAGGUAUCUUCAGGACUGGCUGCAAAGCCCUCCUCUGUGGCCUAACAGGACUGCUCCUCCCUUCGGGGGUGGGGAGACCAAAGAGCCAGUCAUUAAGUUCCUGUUAGAAAUAGUCCUUGUUCCCCUCACUUUGGGAAACCAAUUGGUUACUGAGCUACCACAGGCUACAUCUGAGUAGAGGUUCUAGGUUAUAUCCAUACAUGGUCCUUGGUUGAAUGUCAGUCUCAGAAAAGACCCUGUGCCCAGAUAUAUUUGGUCCUUGUGGAGCUCCUAUCCUUUCCCCAACAGACUAACUCCCCUUCUUUCUUAUGAUUCCCUGUACUCUGCCAAAGUAAACAGGACUUCUGUUAAGACUGAAAUUUCUCAAUAUUCAAAGACUGGACCACAAAUGUUAAUGCUUGCUUAAUUAACCAUUUUCCCCAAUUUUGUUUGGGCCCUCUAACAGGAUUUCUAGGUGUCCAAAAAGUCAGCUAGAAAAAAAUGUAUGAGAAUAAUGUUCAAUUUCCUUUAAAGGGAGUUGGGUAGGUUUUUGGUUGUUUUCUAGGGCUAUAAAUGUUUAUUGUCAUUGGAAGAUGGUUAUAAGUUGUUAAUCUUAUUCAGAGGGAAAAUAAGGUUAGGAUAUUAGGUAAUGCAAGUUAAUUGUUAGUUAAUUAACUCAUAGCCAUAUCAAACACUAGUCUAAUUUAUCCUAGGAGUAUAGGAAUAUACAUCCUAGGGUUAACAGAGAGAUGUGAUUACAUAAAGAUAGGUAAGUCUUCAAAAACCUCAGAAACCUACAGAAUAGAGCACUUAAAAAUAUCUUUAUUAUUUUAAAGAGUAUUUGACAAUGAGACAGGUCAUCUUCUGAUAGCAUCCUACCUGAAAGAAGACGGUGAACAUCAAAGAGAUGGCUUCAAAUGUGGCAAACGAGCCAUCUGGGAAAAAAAAAUGCCCUCAUUUCAUGACAGACAUAAUUCUGCCAAAAAUGGGCAAGUCUAAAUGCAGGACAAGUCAACUGCCCAACUCUGCCAAUGCAGAGUAAGCAAGUCUUAAAUAGUUUCUGCUUCACAUAUAUGUCUGUCAAAUAUACUGAGCCAGAAAGCUGAAGAUAAUGCUCCAAUGCUAUAGAGAGUUUUGAGUGAUUGUUCAGGCAGCAAACUGUCUCUCUCAUUUUUUUAUGUUAGGAAGUGCUGCUAACAUGCACUUCCUGUUUACUCCAGUAACUAAUUUUAUUCCUUCUCAAGUCUCUGGUGGGGUCGAAGACCAAAUAGUUAUAGUUACAUAAUUAAGCUUAAGUUGUUUAGAAUUUAAGAAAAUGUUUUCAUAUAGGUAAUACCAAUAAUGAUAAAAAAUAAUUUAGGUAUAGAACUCUAAACUUGUCAAGAUAGGAUAGAUAAUCAAAUACUUUCUUCCUACAUUGCCAAAUGCACAUGGACUGGACAUUGCACAUGUAAAUCUUACCUAAUAAUUUUCAUACUGUUUUAUAAUAUUGUAUUGAAAGAAAAGGAGGCUUUUAUUGGACUUAAAGGGGGAAAUGUUGGUAUAAUGUUCCCAUGGAAUAUAUACAAUUUACCAUUGUUCAUUCAAAUGCUGAUUUCUCUACUCUACUAUCUGGUUUCAACCUGACAUUGCAUUGUGAUGCUUAUUGUAAGCAUCACCUGUCACAAGUUUGUGUAAACAUGCCACCAUUUGUUUUCUGUAUUGUCAAUAAAACAACCAGCCAAUGCUGAGCAAUGGAGAGAAUAGGGUGGGACAUCCUGGUCUGGAGGACAGGAGAAAGAAGUGGGAAGUGUCGGGAAGGACCAUACUUGGAACCACCAGGAGAGAUGAACUGGACCUAAGAUAUGACUAAAAGCAAGUAUAAUGUGGGAAAUCUGAAUGGAAAGAAUCUGUGCAGGCUUGGAGGUGUAGGAUGGAGUAAUCAUUGCCCAGCAUUGUGCUCUAGGUUAACUAAAUACAUCCUAUUCUCUGUGUGAUGAUUUGGGUAUACAGCUGGUUUAGGAAUAACUGCUGUUUAACUAAAAGAUGAACCAAUAAUAAUAAUCAACAACAA